AGAAAAAACUACUUCGCUGCCACACUUCGCUCCCUCUCCCCUCGCCCAAUCCGCCAUUUCCUCUCCGCCAAAACCCUAACGCUCCCCCUUGCGGGCGCGCACCGGAGCUCGGAGCUCGUCCAUGGCGGGGAAGACGGCAAUCCUGGGGCGAGCCCAUGCCCUCUUACACAAAACCCUAGGCCCUAGUACCCCCUUCCGCGCCGCUAUCUCCACUUUGCCCCUCCUCUCCCAGGAGCCCCAGCUCCAGGAACCUCCCUCCUCCACCUCAGCCACAGGCGGCGCCGCCUCCCCGCUUCCCCCGAACCCCUCCACGGGGAGCCCCUUCUACCAGGAGAACUGGCGCGUCCCGAACCCCGGACCCGCCCCUGUGCUCGGCGGUCAGUCCCUCGUCCCCCUGGGCGGCUCCGCCACCACCCGGAUAAUGGCCUACUCCCAGACCCUCGACAUGGCCAGCCUGAUGAACGUCUUCGCUGACUGGAUGACGUCGCAGCGGUGGUCGGACCUCAAGCAGCUGUUCGAGUUUUGGAUCCGGUCGCUGGAUGCCACCGGGAAGCCCAACAAGCCAGACGUCCACCUCUAUAAUCACUACCUGAGGGCCAAUCUCAUGAUGGGGGCGACCGCUGGGGAGCUGUUGGAUCUGGUGGCCCAGAUGCAGGAGUACCAGAUUGCGCCGAACACUGCCUCGUACAAUUUGGUGCUCAAGGCCAUGUUCCAGGCUAGAGAGAGUGAGGCAGCCGAGAAGUUGGUCGACCGGAUGCUGCAGACAGGCACUUUGCCAGAUGAUGAAUCAUAUAAUUUGGUUAUAGGUCUUCUGAUUUUAGUGAAUCAGAUUGAUUCUUCCUUAAAAUAUUUAGAUUUGACCCUGAAAUCGGGUUUCAUGGUGUCAUCGAGCAUUUUUUCGGAUUGUGUACGGAGCUGUGUUAAUGCUGGGAGAUUGGAUGCAUUGUCAUCUAUCAUAGAGAAAUGCAAGAUGACAGACCAAAACAAAGCCUUAUGCCCUGGUUGGAACUUAUGCAACUACAUUGCUGAUGUUGCAUUGCAAGCAGAUAAUAGCAAAUUGGCGUACUUCUCCUUGGAAUUUCUGGCACGAUGGAUUGCUCGUGGUGAGAAUGCUAGACCACCUGUUCUUCUUUCUGUGGAUGAAGGGUUAGUCGUGUCAGCCCUUGGUACUGCUGGUAGAACAUACGAUUCUACCCUUCUAGAUGCUUCUUGGUCAAUUUUGCGGCGUUCCUUGCGUCAGAAAAGGGCCCCAAAUCCAGAAUCUUACCUUGCAAAGAUAUUUGCACAUGUAUCAUUGGGAAAUCUGCAACGUGCUUUUAGUACCCUCAAUGAAUUUGAAAAUGCAUAUGGGAAUUCUGGGGAAGUUGAUCAGCAGCUUUUUUCUCCUUUUACUUCUUUAUAUCCACUGGUUCUUGCUUGCUGCAAAAAUGGCUUCUCAACAUUGGACUCGGUGUAUUUUCAAUUGGAGAAUUUGAGCCGUGCAGAUCCCCCUUACAAGUCUGUUUCUGCUCUCAACUGUGUGAUAUUAGGUUGUGCAAACAAUUGGGAUCUUGACCGGGCGUAUGAGACUUUUGAGGCCAUCACUGAAAAGAUGGGAUUAACACCUGAUAUACAUUCUUAUAAUGCUUUAAUGCGUGCAUUUGGAAAGCUCAAGAAGACAGCUGAAGCUUCGAAAGUCUUUGAGCAUUUAGUAAGCUUAGGUGUUAAACCAAAUGCAACAACAUAUUCAUUGCUUGUUGAUGCACAUCUUGUCAAUCGAGAUCCAAAAGCUGCUUUAGCUGUAACUGAUGAAAUGGUUGAGGCAGGAUUUACACCUACUAAAGAGAUGUUGAAAAAGGUGCGAAGACGCUGCUCUCGAGAAUCAGAUUUUGAUAAUGAUGAGCAUGUACAGUCUAUAGCUCAAAAGUUCAAGAUCCGAAUGGGUGGUGAAUUUCGUAGAGAGAUGCUAUACAACCUGGAGUACAGCACUGAUUAUUAGAAAGAGGUAGCUCUCCUAGUAUCACUUCUAAGCUCAUGAGUCCAUCAUUUGAACAACCAUACCCCCCCCUCCCCCCUCCCCCUCUUCCUUUUUACUUUGCCAUUUUUUCUCUUUUUCUUUGAUCUGGUGGCUACAAAAAUCAACCGACAUCAUCAGUCUUCGGAGAUCAAGAACAUUGUUUGACAAUACAACAGCCAGCCAUCUCAGCCACAGUUAACUCCGACAUGCUAUCACCCAGCAGUUUCAUUUUCCUCCACUGAAUCUGAUCAUUGUGUUGUUGCAUUUAACAUCGGAUACUCCAGUCAUAUCUAAAAGCCAAUAAGAGCAAGGCUGCUCCAUCUGUUAACCGGCUGCCGGUGAAAUGCAACCAUCCCAGUCUGUACAUUACUUAUUUGUAAGCAAUUUUGACCAAUAUUUGUAGAGAAAUGUAUAGGAUCGUGAACAAAUUUAAUCGGUUUGUUUCCCUUUAAUUAUUACCCAGCCUCCGGAGUUGUGUUGAGCUUUUAUUUAGUAGUUUAUCUGGGCCAUUUGGAUGAAACCAGAUGCUAGGAUUUCAGAAUAAAGACAAUGUUCUCAAGAUCAGAAGGAAUCAUUUGCUUAACAAUUCUGGGGUGCUUCACCUCUUGUUACUACUGAUACUCUGGGUUUGUCCAUCUAUCUAAAAAAUGUUUUUUUGCUGGAAAUUUUUUCCUGCAUUGUGUAUUACUGCCCUGAGAUAUGGACUAAACUUUGUAUGAAUA
Molecule: RNA transcript, 2718 nt
Organism: Phoenix dactylifera (date palm)
Lineage: Eukaryota; Viridiplantae; Streptophyta; Magnoliopsida; Arecales; Arecaceae
Gene name: pentatricopeptide repeat-containing protein At1g26460, mitochondrial-like
Source: RefSeq, a predicted model, not a curated record